GGAGAGGUGUCCGAGUGGUUUAUGGUGCCGUUCUCGAAAAGCGGUGUGCAGCAAUGCACCGGGAGUUCGAAUCUCCCCCUCUCCGCCA
Molecule: transfer RNA, 88 nt
Filed under: Hyphomicrobiales bacterium
Lineage: Bacteria; Pseudomonadati; Pseudomonadota; Alphaproteobacteria; Hyphomicrobiales
Also listed under: 4 other names
Description: tRNA-Ser
Rfam family: tRNA
About the family: Transfer RNA (tRNA) molecules are approximately 80 nucleotides in length. Their secondary structure includes four short double-helical elements and three loops (D, anti-codon, and T loops).
Source: RNAcentral